RNAcentral lists this ribosomal RNA (253 nucleotides) under uncultured bacterium. Its description in RNAcentral is "partial 16S ribosomal RNA". It matches the Rfam family "Bacterial small subunit ribosomal RNA", at positions 524 to 776 of the family's 1533-position model. The record is from RNAcentral.
UACGUAGGGACCAAGCGUUGUUCGGAUUUACGGGGCGUAAAGGGCGCGUAGGCGGCAAUUCAAGUCAUCUGUGAAAUCUCCGAGCUUAACUCGGAACGGUCAGAUGAUACUGCUUUGCUAGAGUGCAGAAGGGGCAACCGGAAUUCUUGGUGUAGCGGUGAAAUGCGUAGAUAUCAAGAGGAACACCGGAGGUGAAGACGGGUUGCUGGGCUGACACUGACGCUGAGGCGCGAAAUCUAGGGUAGCAAACGGG